GACGAACGCUGGCGGCGUGCCUAAUACAUGCAAGUAGAACGCACAGUUUAUACCGUAGCUUGCUACACCAUAGACUGUGAGUUGCGAACGGGUGAGUAACGCGUAGGUAACCUGCCUGGUAGCGGGGGAUAACUAUUGGAAACGAUAGCUAAUACCGCAUAAUAUUAAUUAUUGCAUGAUAAUUAAUUGAAAGGUGCAAUUGCACCACUACCAGAUGGACCUGCGUUGUAUUGGCUAGUAGGUGAGGUAACGGCUCACCUAGGCGACGAUACAUAGCCGACCUGAGAGGGUGGUCGGCCACACUGGGACUGAGACACGGCCCAGACUCCUACGGGAGGCAGCAGUAGGGAAUCUUCGGCAAUGGACGAAAGUCUGACCGAGCAACGCCGCGUGAGUGAAGAAGGUUUUCGGAUCGUAAAGCUCUGUUGUAAGAGAAGAACGGGUGUGAGAGUGGAAAGUUCACACUGUGACGGUAUCUUACCAGAAAGGGACGGCUAACUACGUG
RNAcentral lists this ribosomal RNA (505 nucleotides) under uncultured bacterium. RNAcentral describes it as "partial 16S ribosomal RNA". It matches the Rfam family "Bacterial small subunit ribosomal RNA", at positions 28 to 507 of the family's 1533-position model. The record is from RNAcentral.